GAGAAAAAGAAAGAAAGGAAAGACUUAGGCUUUUUUAAUAUCAAUGUAUUCUGACAAUAUUUCGCAAUCCUGCUCCUACAUAUCUCUAAGUGUUAUGAAGAAUUCAAGGCAUACGUAGUUCUGCUAAAAGAGAACUAUUGGAUUGAUUGCUUUUAAGGAGUGAUCCUUUAGACAUAUUGAGUGAUUAAACCUUAAGUUGCUGCUCGCUUUUGGAGGCUGAAGUCUUUGUUUGUUUCACAUCAAUAUGGAUAAAGAAUACUCGUUUCUGAAACAGUUUUCGGUGUUGUGCAAGGGCGAAAAACAAGUUUGAUUGGUUGAGUGUUUUGUUGGAUGACGAUUACUCGAAUGACCGAGUAAGGCUACACAUAUCCAAGUACUCGAUAAGAGGAAUAGAAGGAUCUAGAUCAUCUCUAUUUUCAUCCUUAAUUGCAAAAGGAUUUAAAUAAGGUUAAGGUAUUUUGAAUGAACGACAAAUACUCGAAUGACCAAGUAAGACUACUUGUAUCCAAGUACCCAGGAAAGGGAAUGGAAGGCUCCAUACCACCUCCUUUUUCAUCCAAGUUUAUUAUGAAAAUGAGUUUGACUUAAGGUUUGAUUAUGAAAAGAGUUUGGAUGUGGAAGGGACGAUGCUUGACAUAGUAAUCAGUUUGAAUUUAAUUUGGGAAAAGUGCUCGACAUUGAAUCGAGUAUUUUUUUUGUUCUUUUCUAAAAGUUGAUGAUUUUAAUCUUUGAGUUAACAUUCAACUAACAUAAUAAAAACAACCGGAAGCGGUAAACUUAUUACACAUUAUAGAAAUGGGGUACAAUUUGUCAAACGAGUAUAUAAUAAAGAGAAUAAAAAAUACUUGAGGUCUAUCCAAUAAUCAAAUGAAGUACCAUAUAAUUAAUUAAUUAAAAUCAAUAAAUUAGUUAAACAAAUUAAAAUGAAUCAAGUAAAGAAUUCAAGUGAAAAUUAAUCAAUUAAAGUAAAACCAAUCACAUAAUUUUAUUAAUCAAAAUGAAUGAAUUAACAAGAUAAAAUCAAAACAAAUGCAUAGAAUUAUUUUUAAACUUAAAUUAAUUGCCAAUUAAAAUAUUACAUGUGGAAUUUUAUAUUAAAUUAUAUAAUAAUAGAAACUUGAUAUAAUAAAAAUGAAGUAGAAAGGAUUACAUUAUAUAUUAAAUUAAAUGAAACUAAUAGCAUAUAAAAAAGAGAAAGAAACAUAAAACAUAGAAACUUGAUAUAAUAAGAAUUAAGUAGCAAAGACUAUAUUAUAUAUUAAAUUAAAUGAAACUAAAAGCAUAUAGAAAAGAGAAAGAAACAUGAAGCAUAACAUGUAACAUGAAGUAAGUGGCAAAGUAAAAUGAUGCAAUGUGUUUCUCAUGAGAUUUUUUAAUUUUGAAAAGUCAAUACCACUUAAAAAUUGAUAUGUGACAAUUAUAAAAUAAAAUUAAAAAACUGAAGCAUAAUAUAAGAACAAGAGGGAGUAACGAAAUGAAGCAGUAACAUGAAACAUGAAAACGUACUGAAACGAAAAAAAACUCACAACCGCAUAAGCACGGCUUCUCCAAACGUGAUUAUGCAAACGCGAUUCUCAUGCAAUAACAACACCUAAUCGCACAGGACUCACAGUUUCAGUCCAGUUUCGAGUUUAAUUAUACAACUUGCCUUUCCAAUUUCCAUAAUUCCAUUUUUUUUUCAGAUUUUUUAUUUAUUCAUAAAUGAGAAUUGAGAGAUCAGAGAGUGAAGGUGAAAGAGGAGUAUAUGUGAUGAAGGGAAGAAGAGGACCACGUUUAUUUUUUUCGUCUUUCUCUCUAAAUUUCUAUUGGCCUUUUGUAGAAAUUCUU
RNAcentral lists this long non-coding RNA (1827 nucleotides) under Lathyrus oleraceus (garden pea). Its description in RNAcentral is "Pisum sativum (pea) long non-coding RNA (PSAT_LNC024026)". Lineage: Eukaryota; Viridiplantae; Streptophyta; Magnoliopsida; Fabales; Fabaceae. The record is from RNAcentral.